AACGAACGCUGGCGGCAUGCCUAACACAUGCAAGUCGAACGAGACCUUCGGGUCUAGUGGCGCACGGGUGCGUAACGCGUGGGACCCUGCCCUUAGGUUCGGAAUAACUCCCCGACAGGGGUGCUAAUAUCGGAUAAUGUCUUCGGACCAAAGAUUGAUCGCCUUUGGAUGCGCAGGCGUUGGAUUAGCUAGUUGGUAGGGUAAAAGCCUACCAAGGCGACGCUCCAUAGCUGGUCUGAGAGGAUGAGCAGCCACACUGGGGCUGGGACACGGCCGAGAAUCUUACGGAAUGCGGCAGUGGGGAAUAUAGCACAAUGGGGUAAAGCCAGAACCAGCUAUGGCGCUUGAGUGAUGUUGGCCGGAGAGAAGUAAAGCUCUUUUACCCGGGAUUAUAAUGACAGUACCGGGAGAAUAAGCACCGGCUAACUCCGUG
This 433-nucleotide ribosomal RNA is filed under the name uncultured bacterium. Its description in RNAcentral is "partial 16S ribosomal RNA". It matches the Rfam family "Bacterial small subunit ribosomal RNA", at positions 29 to 507 of the family's 1533-position model. The record is from RNAcentral.